CCACAUCUACUUUGAGCUAGAGUUUUGCAACAACAAAUUAGUGUUAGAGAAAGAAUGUCAGCCUGAUCGAAGAGGAAAGAGAGCAUGGUGAGAAUGGGAGUGUGCAACUCUGCUGCCUCCCACUGACGAUCCCCUUGCCAUAGCCAAAGUGGUGCUAUCUAAGAGUCCGUUGUUGUGCAACCCUUUGCCACAGUCGAUCCGCAACCACUAGAGGCCUUAGUCUAGUAGAUCCAAAUGCUGACUUGCAUAGUG
This 252-nucleotide long non-coding RNA is filed under the name Elaeis guineensis (African oil palm). RNAcentral describes it as "long non-coding RNA (EGUI_LNC029933)". The record is from RNAcentral. Lineage: Eukaryota; Viridiplantae; Streptophyta; Magnoliopsida; Arecales; Arecaceae.